This 262-nucleotide non-coding RNA is filed under the name Perkinsus marinus ATCC 50983. RNAcentral's name for it is "Eukaryotic large subunit ribosomal RNA". It matches the Rfam family "Eukaryotic large subunit ribosomal RNA", at positions 1 to 262 of the family's 3401-position model. Lineage: Eukaryota; Perkinsozoa; Perkinsida; Perkinsidae. The record is from Rfam by way of RNAcentral.
AAGGCCUGAUGUGUGUGAGAUUACCCGCUGAAUUUAAGCAUAUAAGUAAGCGGAGGAAAAGAAACUAACUAGGAUUCCCUUAGUAAUGGCGAAUGAACAGGGAUCAGCUCAGUGCCAAAUCGGAAUCACUUGUGGUUCUGAAAUGUGGCUUGAAGGCAGUACCAGUGGCAUCGCGGACGAAAGUCUCUUGGAAAAGAGCGUCAUAGAGGGUGAGAAUCCCGUGAGUCGUUCGCCGUUUGUCACGUACGGUCUGCGUCUAACG